This 253-nucleotide ribosomal RNA is filed under the name uncultured bacterium. RNAcentral describes it as "partial 16S ribosomal RNA". It matches the Rfam family "Bacterial small subunit ribosomal RNA", at positions 524 to 776 of the family's 1533-position model. The record is from RNAcentral.
UACGGAGGGGGCGAGCGUUGUUCGGAUUUACUGGGCGUAAAGCGUGCGUAGGUGGCUUCCCAAGUAAGAAGUGAAAGCCCAGGGCUUAACCCUGGAAUUGCUUUUUAAACUGGGUCGCUAGAAUUUAGGAGAGGCAGAUGGAAUUCCGAGUGUAGAGGUGAAAUUCGUAGAUAUUCGGAGGAACACCAGUGGCGAAGGCGGCUCACUGGCUCGGUACUGACGCUGAGGUGCGAAAGCGUGGGGAGCAAACAGG